CACAUGUUUAUCAACUGGUUUUAUGGAAGCUGUUGUGAUACCUCAGACUGAAUGCUUUCAAGCUGCUUUACAAUUUGCCCGUACAGAGGGUCUGAUUCCAGCUCCAGAACCAACUCAUGCUAUAGCAGCCACAAUUAGGGAAGCAUUACAUUGCAAAGAGACGGGAGAAAGAAAAGUUAUUCUGAUGGCUAUGUGUGGUCAUGGUCACUUCGAUCUAACCGCGUAUGAGAAAUAUUUGCAAGGGGAUAUGGUUGAUUUAUCAUACUCCAGUGAGAAGGUACAAGCAUCUUUAACUGCUGUGCCCUAAGUCAUACCCUAGAAUAUUAGGAUCCGACUGCAAAUUAUUGCUAACAGAAUAAGAUAUUAUGAGUGAAUGCUGAAAAUUAUUUAUUGCAUGGCUGAUUGAACAAGCUAAAGUGCUAAUACCUGAACUCAUUUCUCAUGCCUUGGGCUUUCAUUGGUUUUCUUCUGAUAUCAAAUCACAUUGUUUGCCCCAACUGAUUUCAGCUUAUAUAAGCUCUAAUUUUCUUCUCACCA
Non-coding RNA from Phoenix dactylifera (date palm), 537 nucleotides. The record is from RefSeq and is a predicted model, not a curated record. Lineage: Eukaryota; Viridiplantae; Streptophyta; Magnoliopsida; Arecales; Arecaceae.